AUUUUAUUUAUUUGAACAUUAAUUAUAAGAUAUAACACUAAGAAGAAACAAUGACGGUAUCCGAGGAAUAAGCAUCGGCUAACUCUGUGCCAGCAGCCGCGGUAAGACAGAGGAUGC
This 117-nucleotide non-coding RNA is filed under the name Brachypodium distachyon (stiff brome). Lineage: Eukaryota; Viridiplantae; Streptophyta; Magnoliopsida; Poales; Poaceae. The record is from Rfam by way of RNAcentral.